This 495-nucleotide ribosomal RNA is filed under the name uncultured bacterium. Its description in RNAcentral is "partial 16S ribosomal RNA". It matches the Rfam family "Bacterial small subunit ribosomal RNA", at positions 28 to 507 of the family's 1533-position model. The record is from RNAcentral.
GACGAACGCUGGCGGCGUGCCUAAUACAUGCAAGUAGAACGCUGAAGGAGGAGCUUGCUUCUCUGGAUGAGUUGCGAACGGGUGAGUAACGCGUAGGUAACCUGCCUGGUAGCGGGGGAUAACUAUUGGAAACGAUAGCUAAUACCGCAUAAUAGUAGAUGUUGCAUGACAUUUGCUUAAAAGGUGCAAUUGCAUCACUACCAGAUGGACCUGCGUUGUAUUAGCUAGUUGGUGGGGUAACGGCUCACCAAGGCGACGAUACAUAGCCGACCUGAGAGGGGGAUCGGCCACACUGGGACUGAGACACGGCCCAGACUCCUGCGGGAGGCAGCAGUAGGGAAUCUUCGGCAAUGGACGGAAGUCUGAACGAGCAACGCCGCGUGAGUGAAGAAGGUUUUCGGAUCGUAAAGCUCUGUUGUAAGAGAAGAACGAGUGUGAGAGUGGAAAGUUCACACUGUGACGGUAUCUUACCAGAAAGGGACGGCUAACUACGUG